AAACGAACCUUCGGGUUAGUGGCGGACGGGUGAGUAACGCGUGAGAAUCUGCCCUCAGGAGGGGGACAACAGUUGGAAACGACUGCUAAUACCCCAUAUGCCGCGAGGUGAAAUGAAUUUCGCCUGAGGAUGAGCUCGCGUCUGAUUAGCUAGUUGGUGUAGGUAAUGGCUCACCAAGGCAUCGAUCAGUAGCUGGUCUGAGAGGAUGAUCAGCCACACUGGGACUGAGACACGGCCCAGACUCCUACGGGAGGCAGCAGUGGGGAAUUUUCCGCAAUGGGCGAAAGCCUGACGGAGCAACGCCGCGUGAGGGAUGAAGGCCUCUGGGCUGUAAACCUCUUUUAUCAAGGAAGAAGAUCUGACGGUACUUGAUGAAUAAGCCACGGCUAAUUCCGUGCCAGCAGCCGCGGUAAUACGGGAGUGGCAAGCGUUAUCCGGAAUUAUUGGGCGUAAAGCGUCCGCAGGCGGCCCUUCAAGUCUGCUGUUAAAAAGUGGAGCUUAACUCCAUCAUGGCAGUGGAAACUGUUGGGCUUGAGUGUGGUAGGGGCAGAGGGAAUUCCCGGUGUA
This 567-nucleotide ribosomal RNA is filed under the name uncultured Synechococcus sp. Its description in RNAcentral is "bacterial SSU rRNA". It matches the Rfam family "Bacterial small subunit ribosomal RNA", at positions 64 to 677 of the family's 1533-position model. Lineage: Bacteria; Bacillati; Cyanobacteriota; Cyanophyceae; Synechococcales; Synechococcaceae. The record is from RNAcentral.